CGUACCCAUCCGCUCACGUACAUCACGUACAUCCGCUCACGUACAUCACGUACAUCACGUAUAUCCGCUCACGUACAUCCGCUCAUGUACAGCAGACACCGUACCCAUCCGCUCACGUACAUCACGUACAUCCGCUCACGUACAUCACGUACAUCACGUANNNNNNNNNNCAUCCGCUCACGUACAGCAGCCACCGUACCCAUCCGCUCACGUACAUCGAUACAGCUGGAAGUAUAUUCUGUGCUUAUGUUGUUUAAGGAUUCCAGACUACCGUGAGUUAAUUUUGUUCGUGGAGAUCCUUCUGUGAACACUCAGGCUCUGGCACAUAAAAUGCCCCACUCGCAAGCAUCUUCCACAUCCAUCAGUUCUUCAGGGAGGAAAGCCUUUGGACACAUGGCUUCUCGCCAUUAUUGGUGUGCAGACAACUUGAAAAUUGGCAGAGGAAUCCAUGCUGGCGAAAGAGCAGUUGAAAGACCCUCAGAAGAGGUCGGGAUGCCCAUGGAGGAGGUAGAAAACUUCAUGUGUUCCACGCUUCUCACAGCCCCGCUGGGCUCCUGUGGCUUCUCAGUGUCUCAGGCUAUGCCGGUGCUCCAUUCGCCAGCAGAGGGCAGCAUUGAGACAUCAACGAAGGCGGACUUGGGCGUGCGACCGCCGGGAAGCAGAGCCUCAGGAUGGCUGCUUGUGGAAGCUUUAACCUUUUAAGCAAUUCUCCGGGGAGCCCUUCCUGUCAUGUGUGGGCUGCCCUAAAAUGAGCAGGUGAUAGAAAUGAAAUAUUAAACAAUUCUGUUCUGCAAAAUGAAAAUGAGUUGUCAUUUAGCAUUUUUAUCAGUCGAUGACACAUUCUUCCAGCUUCAGAAGGAUUUUGUGAAAAUGCAGGAGACAGUGAACUCAUUUACCACCAAAUCCUCAAAAAUCACACGUGGGGGCGCCGCCAUCAGCGGCAGGGGUGCAGGGAAGGCCAAGGCUGAGCCUGCAGGGCCGAGGGGCUGGGAUCUGGGACCUGUGACGCAGGCCAAGGAUGCAAUUGUCCUGGAUAGCAAUACGGAGGAAGCAGGCUUAUCUCCAGCAAGGCUGUGUGUGGCCAGGCAGAAGGC
RNAcentral lists this long non-coding RNA (1094 nucleotides) under Mus spicilegus (steppe mouse). Its description in RNAcentral is "lncRNA (ENSMSIG00000030800.1)". Lineage: Eukaryota; Metazoa; Chordata; Mammalia; Rodentia; Muridae. The record is from RNAcentral.